Molecule: ribosomal RNA, 395 nt
Filed under: uncultured bacterium
Lineage: Bacteria
Description: partial 16S ribosomal RNA
Rfam family: Bacterial small subunit ribosomal RNA
Source: RNAcentral
AUACGUAGGGUGCAAGCGUUAAUCGGAAUUACUGGGCGUAAAGCGUGCGCAGGCGGUUUUGUAAGACAGUGGUGAAAUCCCCGGGCUCAAACUGGGAACUGCCAUUGUGACUGCAAGGCUGGAGUGCGGCAGAGGGGGAUGGAAUUCCGCGUGUAGCAGUGAAAUGCGUAGAUAUGCGGAGGAACACCGAUGGCGAAGGCAAUCCCCUGGGCCUGCACUGACGCUCAUGCACGAAAGCGUGGGGAGCAAACAGGAUUAGAUACCCUGGUAGUCCACGCCCUAAACGAUGUCAACUGGUUGUUGGGGAUUUAUUUUCUCAGUAACGAAGCUAACGCGUGAAGUUGACCGCCUGGGGAGUACGGCCGCAAGGUUAAAACUCAAAUGAAUUGACGGGG